Long non-coding RNA from Eriocheir sinensis (Chinese mitten crab), 454 nucleotides. RefSeq lists it as uncharacterized. The record is from RefSeq and is a predicted model, not a curated record. The transcript is spliced from 2 exons. NCBI's taxonomy places the organism in Eukaryota, Metazoa, Arthropoda, Malacostraca, Decapoda, Varunidae.
AGAAAAGAUAUGGCAACCCUGAUGUAAUAUGGACAUGUUAAUAAGCACUCAAAUUCAUCCUAUCUUAUUCCACCUUUUACUGAAUCAUUAUGAAAUUAUCUAAACACAAAGUAAUUUGGGGAUUGCCACUUAAACCAAUUAUCAUGAAAGUUUGAAAUUAUAAAUGAGAAAAUUAAAUACAUUUUAUUUGUAGAGCUCUUGUCCAUGAGAAAAUUUUAUUACAAUUGAUUUGCCCAAAGCACACACACACACACACACACACACACACACACACACACACACACAAAAGCAAGCACAUGUCCAAGUGUUUAAGUUAUUUAAUUUUAUUUUACAUACAAUCUUAUUCACACACACACACACAAAAGCAAGCACAUACCCAAAUGUAUCUAGUAUUUUACAUACAAACUUGUUCGUCUACACACACACACACACACACACACACACACACACAAAA